UCUGCAUUCAGGCACUGUGUUUCCCACCAGGCCUGAGAGCCGCUGACAGCCACAGAAAACAGACACCGAGUUUGAGACAUGCACUUAUAUAGAAACCGUUAGAGAUAGUCUGUGUGUGUGUUUUGUUGAAAAGCUAACACACACACACACACACACACACACCAAAGAACGGGUGCUGAGAGCUUGAAACUGUUUACACCAUGUGGGUGUCAAGCAGAAUGUGAGCCAGCUGCAGAACUCAGACAAACCCAUCAGUGUUUCAGGACGACAGACUCCGGUCAGCUCCGACAGGGUGAUCCUAUCUGCAGGACUGGGAAGGAGCCAGCAUAGUGUUCCUGUUUUCAGUGGGAGCCACCAGUUGGAAAUGGAGGGAAAACGAUGCGUGCCGCUUCAUGAAUCAUCGGGCUCAAACUCAUAAGUAUGCAGGCGAGCAGAGAGGACGCUUGUUAUUUCAACACUGUUGGUGUUCGGUGGGUUUUUGCAUCCUGGAUUCAUUGGGACAAAGGAGCUAAAGAGGGCUGCUUACUAAGAUCACAUGCAUCUACAUCUACAAAAAAAAAAACACCGAAAGAUGUGAGUGCUGAGCUCACCAGUGAGAGAAACACAGGGGGUUAAAGCCCAAGUACCAAGUGGGAGUGGGGAGAAGUCCAGAUUCAAGUCACAGAGUCUGCUUUCUCCUUCCUUCAGUGAAGAUCCCAGAGGCCUCUAAGCCAACAGUAGGUGUGGUGGUUACUUAGCAACCCUCCACGCAAACUGCCAGAGGACAAAGCAAGGGAGAAGAGGUUGAGUCCAGAACAAUCCCUGGUUCCCCCUCCUUCUCUGCUGGGAGUACUUAGACUUUAACCUUCCGCACAGCUCUCACACCGACCAGCUCAACAAUAACCUCUCAGCGCUGAAUCCCCUCUCAAGGGAAAUGAAGAACAGGGAUGGACAACACGUCUGUAACCCAUUCAUGGUCUACUCCACCCCAACAAGCCAGAAAAUAAAUUACUGUAGCUAAACUGAAAUAAUCAUACAUUGAGAAUUAUUGUAUUAUAGUACGUAACUAUAUUAAUAAAUGCAUUUAAAAUCAAUAAAAUAGAAAAGGUACUACCACA
Long non-coding RNA from Esox lucius (northern pike), 1097 nucleotides. The record is from Ensembl. Lineage: Eukaryota; Metazoa; Chordata; Actinopteri; Esociformes; Esocidae.